RNAcentral lists this unclassified non-coding RNA (520 nucleotides) under uncultured Glomus. Its description in RNAcentral is "SSU rRNA". It matches the Rfam family "Eukaryotic small subunit ribosomal RNA", at positions 569 to 1088 of the family's 1831-position model. Lineage: Eukaryota; Fungi; Glomeromycota; Glomeromycetes; Glomerales; Glomeraceae. The record is from RNAcentral.
AGCAGCCGCGGUAAUUCCAGCUCCAAUAGCGUAUAUUAAAGUUGUUGCAGUUAAAAAGCUCGUAGUUGAAUUUCGAGAUCAAAUUGUUGGUCGUGCCUUGGUACGCACUGGCAUUAUUGGUUUCUCCCUUCUGACGAACCAUGAUGUCAUUAAUUUGGUGUCUUGGGGAAUCAGGACUGUUACUUUGAAAAAAUUUAGAGUGUUUAAAGCAGGCUUACGCUUGAAUACAUUAGCAUGGAAUAAUGAAAUAGGACGUUUGAUUCUAUUUUGUUGGUUUCUAGGAUCGACGUAAUGAUUAAUAGGGAUAGUUGGGGGGCAUUAGUAUUCAAUUGUCAGAGGUGAAAUUCUUGGAUUUAUUGAAGACUAACUACUGCGAAAGCAUUUGCCAAGGAUGUUUUCAUUAAUCAAGAACGAAAGUUAGGGGAUCGAAGACGAUCAGAUACCGUCGUAGUCUUAACCAUAAACUAUGCCGACUAGGGAUCGGAUGAUGUUAAUUUUUUUAAUGACUCAUUCGGCGCCU